UUCCUUCUCUGCGUCUAUAUGCUUCACCCAUCUAAUUUUCUAUUUUUGAAAAUUGGAAUCAAUACGGUGAGUUUUAUAACUCGUUCUUUUAAGGCUUUUCGAGAAUUAGAGAAAUGAAGAAAAUGUAUUUGGCGGCUUCGGUUGCUUGUCACUUCUCCAUGUUUUCAUCUCUCGAAUGCACUACGUAACGUCCUUCUUCUUCUCUCUUCAGUCGAACUCAGAGCCUCAUUAUUGACCUGUAGAUAUAUAAUUGUAAUCCAUACGGUGAUUUUUUACUGGGGUUUUUAAUGCUUUGAGAAGUAGAGAAAGAAAGAAGAGAUUAUGGAGCAUCUUACCCUGUGAUGAACAUAGUGCCUCCGGUUGCUCGUCGCUCCUCCAAGUCUCCAUCUCUCGAAUCCAUUACGUAACUCCAAUAAGACCAAUAAUGGUGGCUUUCGAUGGCACGCCUUUCCUGUGGUAGUGGUGUCUGGUGACGACAAUGGUGGCACUUCCUUUAACCCCAUCAAAGCCGGAGAUGAAGAUAGGGAACGAGAGAGUGAUCAUCAGAAUGGGAUAACAAUGGCAUCUUGGUACUUUUCACGAUCGAAUAAUGGGGUCUGGCAUUUAAGAGGAAAUGUAUAUAUGUUUAGUUGAAUAUUGUAGGCACAAUUUCUAAUUGUGUUAUGAAUUUUGAACACUGGAUGGAGAUCAUGUACACGUUUACGCAGAUAAUCUCUCAUAUUAACCAUGGCAGUGUUGAAAAGAGAAAAUUUAGUAACUGACAACAAAUACCCCAGACAAAAAUAGAGAUGAUAGUAGUUAUGAGAAGCGAAAUUAACCAUAGUUUU
This 827-nucleotide long non-coding RNA is filed under the name Brassica rapa (field mustard). Its description in RNAcentral is "long non-coding RNA (BRAP_LNC007911)". Lineage: Eukaryota; Viridiplantae; Streptophyta; Magnoliopsida; Brassicales; Brassicaceae. The record is from RNAcentral.